CCUUGGUACUUUCUGGUGACUCACAAAGAACAUCCUGUUUCACUAGAAUAAGCAAUACGUUCAUAGUCAUUAACCUCUGACUGAUUUUAGUAAAACGAGUUCGUUAUUCGUGCUGAUUUUAUAUAGAUUUAAAAUAUCAACAGGUUGGGAAUUAGUGAUGAGCAGUCUAUUUCCGCGAAUCGGUUCUUUUGAACAGUUUCAAAGCAAUUCAGUGAUCCGUUUACGCUAUGACGCAAUUACGUCCAUGCAUCUUCCCUUAAAUGUUCUUAAAUACUCUAAUAAAGCAAUGCUGUAUAGGUGAUACUUGCCUUUUUCGUAGGGAGGUUUGUUGUAAUGUGUCCCCGCUCAUAAAACCAUAAAGUCCUUUAGGAAAUUCGUUAAUAAUUUCACAUGUUUUAGGGGGGCUAAUUAAUGUGAUGUUUCGCGAUGCAAGUAAAAAUAUAAAGUCGCGCUUUUGAUUCGAGAAAAAAACCGUAAACUGAUUCGUACCGGUUUUGUUUACGGCUUCAAGUGAUUCGUUGAAAUGAUUCACCUCAAAAGGACGGUUCUUUCACAUCGCGGGAAUUUCUGCAUUGUUGCAUGUUCUGAGUUUAAGAAACUCCCACUCCACAGAAGGAUUUGAAAUAUGAUGUCAUGACAUGAAAAGGAAAGCGGCACACAAGCAUGGGCACAGCUGUGAUACAUUACCACACCAGCAAGACCAUCGUCCCUCCUGAAAGGACAGUGCAAGAUAUCCGCAGCGAAACAUGUCUGAACUCGGCUUUCUGAAGAUCGGUUUCAUCGGAACCGCGUUUUCCUUUCUGCUGGCUCUGUUUGGGCUGGUCGAUUCUGUGGGAGGUCUGAUGUAUCCUCAAGGACCAGACUGGGCAGACGACAACUGGACAGAGAAGCUUCCCACCGUGUCUUCAUCACAGACUGCUGCUGCUGCUGCCAACAACACCAAGCGCAGCGGGUCGAGGUGAUCUUCUCCACUGCCAUCGGUGGCGAGUCUUUAAUUGCACUAGGAGAAAUAAUCGGUGCAUUUAUGUCACUGACCUACUAAAGCCUGCUGUGGAAUUAUUUCCUCCAUUACACUACUGUGAGUCAGACAUGAAGAACAUUAAUAAUGGCUGGUCAUUCUACAAGUCAUAUGAGAUGUCAACUCUUCCCACUCAUUAGCUACUUUUUUUGCUUUGUUGUCCUGGUUUCCCGAAGAGCCUGCAAGAGUUGAAAACAAAAUCUUCGGAAAUGAUUGAAAGCUUAAAAAUACUACAAGCAUGCUACGUGAAUAUGCUGGACUCAAAAUAUUGAAAUCCCCCCUAUGGUCAAAAUGUUUUUGUAAUGUUUUUAUAAUGUUUGUUCCUUUUAUAUGCUGUUUAAAAGAAGACAAAAAUGACAUACAAUGUUAAUGUACACUGUGUUCGCCAUAAGAAACUGUGGCAUUAGGCAGCAAAACGUUGUUUGGGUUUUGGAUCUGAAAGAUAUCAGCCAGGUAAAAGUUAUGUUACUUAUGUUUAAACUCACUGUUCUAUAUUAAACUGAAUAAAAGUGUAUACAGUUGCACGGUA
Molecule: long non-coding RNA, 1547 nt
Organism: Cyprinus carpio (common carp)
Lineage: Eukaryota; Metazoa; Chordata; Actinopteri; Cypriniformes; Cyprinidae
Source: RefSeq, a predicted model, not a curated record